UGUGGAAAACGCCAGCGAUCUCAGCGUUAGGAUAAGUUGGCAUAGAGAUCCAGUAGAAAGUAUUUGAUGUCUCUAGUCUACCUGAAAGUUGACCAGUCCAGCCCGCAUCUGAGGAUGGUUUCUGCUAGAAGCACUGGUGAAGAGGACUCUCGUGUUCACAAGAUAUAUACGUAUGUAUGGCUAUAUAUGUUCAUUCAGCCGCAACGCUGCCCUCCCAGAAGAUCUCCCACGUCAGAAGCUGUCUGCUAAAAGAGCAGCUUAGAAAAGAUUCAUGGCAUGGAGUAUUUGUUUUUUAAAAAAGCUAAUUUAUUGGGAUAUUUGCAUAGGUAAGGCUCCCAUGGGAAAUGAGCUGUUUGUGGAAACAGCCAGCUGGUUGCUGCAUGGAUGGUGGCAUGAGCCAAGCACCAUCCUGACAAGAGCACGAGUGUCUGGAGGUACAUUCCCACCAUUUUCAAGUGGAAGGGGGAAAGCACCAAGGUCUGCAGGAGAUGGGCGCGGAGCUGCAGACAUCGCAGGAGGCAGCUGCCCGGCAGAACAUCCUUGGCUGCGAGCAUCUCCGGCACAGCACAGCUCUCCAGCAACGCCAUACUUCUGAUGAGACCUCUGCCCAUGAGGUGGCCAGAAGACUCCUACCUCGUUACCUCUGUGUUUAAUUUGGGGGUGCAGUUCCUGCAAGAAAGGGAGCACUGUGCCUAUUUUCCACAACAAAGAUUGAGCUUAGCCAAAGUCACACAAGGCAGUGUGUGGCCAAUGCAGCUUCAGGCUCUGCUUUUCUUACUGCUGCUCAUAUUCUCUUCUGCCAAUCUGGGCUUCCUCCCUCUCCAUCAGGCAAUAAGGAGUGCUUUUCUCAGCUUUAUUCUUUUUUUGCUUGCUUCGAUUCAUUUACUUGUUACUG
Molecule: long non-coding RNA, 895 nt
Organism: Rhea pennata
Lineage: Eukaryota; Metazoa; Chordata; Aves; Rheiformes; Rheidae
Exons: 3
Source: RefSeq, a predicted model, not a curated record